GGAGAGGUGGCCGAGCGGUUUAAGGCGUACGCCUGGAGAGCGUAUGGCGGCCGAAAGGCUGCUCGAGAGUUCGAAUCUCUCCCUCUCCG
RNAcentral lists this transfer RNA (89 nucleotides) under Candidatus Omnitrophota bacterium. Its description in RNAcentral is "tRNA-Ser". It matches the Rfam family "tRNA". From Rfam's summary of the family: Transfer RNA (tRNA) molecules are approximately 80 nucleotides in length. The record is from RNAcentral. Lineage: Bacteria; Pseudomonadati; Candidatus Omnitrophota.